RNAcentral lists this ribosomal RNA (497 nucleotides) under uncultured bacterium. RNAcentral's name for it is "partial 16S ribosomal RNA". It matches the Rfam family "Bacterial small subunit ribosomal RNA", at positions 28 to 507 of the family's 1533-position model. The record is from RNAcentral.
GAUGAACGCUGGCGGCGUGCCUAAUACAUGCAAGUCGAGCGAACGGACGAGAAGCUUGCUUCUCUGAUGUUAGCGGCGGACGGGUGAGUAACACGUGGAUAACCUACCUAUAAGACUGGGAUACCUUCGGGAAACCGGAGCUAAUACCGGAUGAUAUUUUGAACCGCAUGGUUCACAAGUGAAAGACGGUCUUGCUGUUACUUAUAGAUGGAUUCGCGCUGCAUUAGCUAGUUGGUCAGGUAACGGCUUACCAAGGCAACGAUGCGUAGCCGACCUGAGAGGGGGGUCGGCCACACUGGAACGGAGACACGGUCCAGACUCCUACGGGAGGGAGCAGUAGGGAAUCUUCCGCAAUGGGCGAAAGCCUGACGGAGCGACGCCGCGUGAGUGAUGAAGGUCUGCGGAUCGGAAAACUCUGUUAUUAGGGAAGAACAUAUGUGUAAGUGACUGUGCACAUCGUGACGGUACCUAAUCAGAAAGCCACGGCUAACUACGUG